Molecule: long non-coding RNA, 2610 nt
Filed under: Malus domestica (apple)
Lineage: Eukaryota; Viridiplantae; Streptophyta; Magnoliopsida; Rosales; Rosaceae
Description: long non-coding RNA (MDOM_LNC011960)
Source: RNAcentral
AAUAGUUGCAAAUCCAAGACAAACAACACAAGGAAAAUGCCCUGGGUCGCCAUAUCUUCUCAACCAAACCAUGUUACUCCCAACCUUCAUGCCAUUACGGAUUCGAGUUCUAAGCAUGUAGAUCGAGACCAUUUCGCACAUGCAACGGUAAUCAUCUCCCACUUAGUUCAAGAUACAUGUCUCUCAGCUUGCAAAAAAUCUCUGCAAGUUAUAUUUUCGUGAUGAGUCUUUGUAGAAGCUUACACGGAUGUUUUUCUGUAUUAGGUGCUCGAGAUGCACAUAGAGACUGAAGAGACAGAUUUGGAAAGCUCCCAAACUCACGGAUCUGCAAAUUUUUAGGUAGAAACCGUAACCCUUUUGAUUGAUUGACUAUGAUCUGAUACUUGAAUAAUAACCACUACUGUGACUGAAAAUGACACUCAAAUCUAGCGUACAAUCGAGAGACAACAACCUUGAGCUUCCGGUCUAGUAGUCCCUGAAGGCAACAGAAACGACAAAUGUCUCGGCCUCUGUAAAUAAAGAAGGUAAAGAUCUCGUUCUUCUGCUUCUGCUCGACUGAACAUUUAUAUAUUCAACUACAUUUUAUUUAUGAUGCCAUGUUGAUCGUGUAUGUACUCCCAAAAUGACACCAUACGAACUGAAAACAUACAAUCACUUGAAUAACUUGGAUCUCUAAAUUGGUAACAAUUGCGGACUAAAACACAUGGGCUCCCAGAAAAGAAUGAAGUACGCCCUAGAUCUGACUCAUGAAUCUGGUUAGUUCUGUAUAGAUGCUCGUUUUAUGUCCUGCAUAGGGGUGGGUUCGGUUCAAAUCGGUUCGGUUUUUUGCCAAAACCGAAACCAAACCGAAACCGAAAUUUCGGUUUGGUUCGGUUCUGUUCAUUUUUUUUCGGUUUUUUUUUGUUCGGUUUUUUCCGGUUCGGUUUCGGUUUUUUGUUUUGUUUUUUUUUUCAAAAAAUGAAAGACAUUGAAAUUUAAAAUUUUAACAUCUCCAACACAAUCAUAACAUAAACAUUCUAACUAGAAUCAAAGACAAUGAAAAUAAACAUUUAAAGUUGAACUAAAAUCAUCAAUCAAGUCUUCCAAAUUCCAAACUAACAACCUCACAACACAAAAAUCGUACAAAUGACUUAGAAAAGUUAAAUUGUAUGAUGUUGUUCAAAGAUCAGGGUUGUUUGCUUGUAACUACAUGUUGACAACUUGAUUAGUAAAAGUAAUGCGUGGGUGGAUUUAUUUAGUGUGUGUUGGAUUCUUUUCCAUCACAAAGUAUGCAAGUAAUCUACCCGAAAUAAAUGUUUAUGGAUUCUGUUACAUGUUAUAUGAGAGUAGAUUUAGAAAAGAAAGCUGGGGCUGAAGUAGAUAGUGCUAUGGAGAUGGAUGUAGGUACUUCAGGAGGAGGUUUGGUUCCGAAACUUUAGGGUUUAGAGUUUUUAUAGGCCUUUUUUUAAUAUUUUGAGCUUAUGGAGAUGGAUGUAGGUACUUCAGGAGGAGGUUUGGUUCCGAAUUCUUUAGGGUUUAGCACAUUUUAACUUACAAAUUGGGUUUAAAAAAUAAUAUCCAAAACAAAUAAUUAAAUAAAAAAAUUAAUUUAAUUAAUUCGGUUUGGUUCGGUUUGGUUUGGUUUCUAGAUCACUAAAACCAAACCGAACCAAAAGAAUUCGGUUUGGUUCGGUUGUUUCAAUUCGGUUCGUUUUUUUCGUUCGGUUCGGUUUUUUCGGUUUCGGUUCGGUUCGGUUUUCGAUUUUUUGAACCCACCCUUAGUCCUGCAUGUAUUCAUAUUGGUGCUCUUUGUGUAGGGGUAUACGGAUCCAUGAUAGAGCCAAGGGAAAAGAAGUAAACACACAAACCCAUCGGACAAAGACAGCACAGGUCGCAUGACCCAGAUCGAUGCAUCUGGGAGGUAAAAUUCGAAUCCCUGCAAGUGUAGUUGUUAUAGAUCUGGUAAUAAUAACUGUACUCAGUUCUGUGGUGUAUGGAUCUGUGAUUUAACUGUGCUUCUCCAUGCAUUGCAAAACUGAGCUGCAAAAAAUUAACUGCUCAAAAUUAUGUUUCUGUACAAAGAUUCUUUCAUUAGAAUUCUUAAUAUUUAAAGGUGGGAUACUUUAGGAACUAAAAUACACAUAAAAACAUUAAAAACAAUAAAAUGUGAGAUUUAAUGUCAAUUCUGAGGUGAAAAUCCAGUCAAAUGACUAAUUUUAAUAUUUUAUCUUGUACCAGGUUAAUGUCAAUUCUCAUGUAGUCACUGGCGGAUCCAUAUAGGGACCCGGGAGGUUCCGGGACCCUUCGGAAGCCAAAAGAAACGCUUGUGAUCGACCUUCGGGACCCUCCAAAAAUUUAGGCAGGUGCAGUGGAGAGGCUUGUUGGCACCCAAGUCUGGGUAUGUGGUGGAGGAGGUCCAGUUGCCGUUGCAUUGUUCAGUCAUCCUACAAACCAAAAGAAGAAGAUGAACGAAACGGUGUGUUUUGGCUAAGUGAGAAGAACAAGAAGGCUACUUUUUCUUUAAAUGAAACGGUGUGUUUUGGCCAUGUUGUUUAAAUGAAACGGUGUGUUUUGGCCAUGUUGUUUAAAUAAAAAGGUGUGCUUUCAUACACGGUUUGAAAACACUUGUUC